This 250-nucleotide ribosomal RNA is filed under the name uncultured bacterium. RNAcentral's name for it is "partial 16S ribosomal RNA". It matches the Rfam family "Bacterial small subunit ribosomal RNA", at positions 102 to 353 of the family's 1533-position model. The record is from RNAcentral.
ACGGGUGAGUAAUGUCUGGGAAACUGCCUGAUGGAGGAGGAUAACUACUGGAAACGGUAGCUAAUACCGCAUAACGUCGCAAGACCAAAGAGGGGGACCUUCGGGCCUCUUGCCAUCAGAUGUGCCCAGAUGGGAUUAGCUAGUAGGUGGGGUAACGGCUCACCUAGGCGACGAUCCCUAGCUGGUCUGAGAGGAUGACCAGCCACACUGGAACUGAGACACGGUCCAGACUCCUACGGGAGGCAGCAUG